AAAUUGAAGAGUUUGAUCAUGGCUCAGAUUGAACGCUGGCGGCAGGCCUAACACAUGCAAGUCGAACGGUAACAGGAAGCAGCUUGCUGCUUCGCUGACGAGUGGCGGACGGGUGAGUAAUGUCUGGGAAACUGCCUGAUGGAGGGGGAUAACUACUGGAAACGGUAGCUAAUACCGCAUAACGUCGCAAGACCAAAGAGGGGGACCUUCGGGCCUCUUGCCAUCGGAUGUGCCCAGAUGGGAUUAGCUAGUAGGUGGGGUAACGGCUCACCUAGGCGACGAUCCCUAGCUGGUCUGAGAGGAUGACCAGCCACACUGGAACUGAGACACGGUCCAGACUCCUACGGGAGGCAGCAGUGGGGAAUAUUGCA
This 371-nucleotide ribosomal RNA is filed under the name Escherichia coli. Its description in RNAcentral is "bacterial SSU rRNA". It matches the Rfam family "Bacterial small subunit ribosomal RNA", at positions 1 to 368 of the family's 1533-position model. The record is from RNAcentral. Lineage: Bacteria; Pseudomonadati; Pseudomonadota; Gammaproteobacteria; Enterobacterales; Enterobacteriaceae.